GACCAAGGAGUCCGACCCGUGCGCGAGUCGUAGGGUCUUGUUUAGGCCCCGUGGCGAAGCGAAAGCGAAGCCGAGACUUCCGAUUUAUACAUGCGUCGGAAAGCAUCGGCGGCCCGGCGGUGCGGUCGGUUUCUCCCGUCCGAAUUGAAUCUUUUCGGGCGGGCGUCCGGCUCGUCGGAGUCUGAGCGCACGAGUCGGUACCCGAAAGAUGGUGAACUAUGCCCGGCCAGGGCGAAGCCGGAGGAAACUCCGGUGGAGGCCCGAAGCGGUUCUGACGUGCAAAUCGAUCGUCGGAGCGAGGUAUAGGGGCGAAAGACUAAUCGAACCAUCUAGUAGCUGGUUCCCUCCGAAGUUUCCCUCAGGAUAGCUGGCAUUCGUUGAAACAGUCUCUCCUCGUAGAGAGAAUGAAUAGAGGCCCUGGGGCCCUAGACGACCUCAACCUAUUAUCAAACUACUACGAGGUGCGUCGGCCGUUUUCCUGCCGAGUACGAGGAACGGCGUA
This is a ribosomal RNA of 502 nucleotides. It matches the Rfam family "Eukaryotic large subunit ribosomal RNA", at positions 664 to 1108 of the family's 3401-position model.